CCUGAGCCCUGGAAGAAUGAGGCUAAAUUUCUACUCCCAGGAAGAUGGAAGAAAUCAGGAUACGAAAGCAGCUUCAUCUCCAUGACAGUAAGAAGCUCGCGUUUAUGAGUCCGACUGUGCGCCAUCCUGGUAAGGGACCCUGGGGCCCGGGAGCUGGCAUCCGGAACGUAGUGCCCGCAGGCAAGGAGAACAGGAAGAGCCGCCAGCUCUGGAGAACGCUGGAAGCCCUUCUGCCAGGUGAGCGACUGCUGCACUUGCCUGUGGGGAAGCUCCCUGGAGGUGGGAGAGGCAGGCUGCGGGCACAGCUGGGGGAGGUGGGUUGACCUGGGGGGGGGAGGCC
This 340-nucleotide long non-coding RNA is filed under the name Sus scrofa (pig). Its description in RNAcentral is "lncRNA (ENSSSCG00060053412.1)". The record is from RNAcentral. Lineage: Eukaryota; Metazoa; Chordata; Mammalia; Artiodactyla; Suidae.